Molecule: ribosomal RNA, 406 nt
Filed under: uncultured bacterium
Lineage: Bacteria
Description: partial 16S ribosomal RNA
Rfam family: Bacterial small subunit ribosomal RNA
Source: RNAcentral
AUUGAACGCUGGCGGCAGGCCUAACACAUGCAAGUCGAACGAGUGGCGGAAGGGUGAGUAAUGUCUGGGAAACUGCCCGAGGGAGGGGGAUAGCUACUGGACACGGUAGCUAAUACCGCAUACCAUCGGAUGUGCCCAGAUGGGAUUUGCUAGUAGGGGGGGUAACGGCUCACCUAGGCGACGAUCCCUAGUUGGUCUGAGAGGAUGACCAGCCACACUGGAAUUGAGACACGGUCCAGAAUCCUACGGGAGGCAGCAGUGGGGAAUAUGGGACAAUGGGCGCAAGCCUGAUGCAGCCAUGCCGCGUGUAUGAAGAAGGCCUUCGGGUUGUAAAGUACUUUCAGCGAGGAGGCGUUACUCGCAGAAGAAGCACCGGCUAACUCCGUGCCAGCAGCCGCGGUAAUUC